GAGAUCUCCGUCGGGCUACCGCUGAUGAGUGCGAGGAGGAUACGCUGCCGACGCUAGCACAAACCGGGGGGAGAGCUCCGCUGCCGUCGAGCUUGAGGAGGAUGUUGCCGCCGUCGAGCUCGAGUUUGAUCAUUGGAUGUUGUUGUUGAGCGUGAGGAGGAGCCGCGAGCGCGAAGCGGGGAGGGCUCCGCCAGGCUGUCGUCGACGGGCGCGAGCUAGACACAGCUGACGAACAUGAGGAGGAGGUGUACAAGCACGCAGCGGCGAGCUCGACACCGACGACUAGCACGCCGGCGAGAUUUGUGGUGGAUGAGCACGGAUUUUCCCCCUACUACUACAUCUGGUUUUGCUAAUUAGCCGAGCAUAGAGCAGCGCUGGAGGCCGGCUACGCCGAGCGUGGAGUCGCAUAGGAGGCUUUCACCGCCGCCAAGCACGGAGCAGCGCUGAAGGAUUCCGUUGCCGCCGAGCACAGAGCUUCCAUGGGGGCCGCUGCCACAGCUCAGUGCGUGGUUGGAGCAUAUGGCUUAAUUAUUUAAGGAAUUAGGCUUAAUCAAUCUGGUAAUUAGGUUCAAUUAAUCUAGCAGUUCGUACCCGAUUAAUGAGACUGCAAUUACUCCGCAAGGACUAACUAACCGGACAACUAGGCAUAACUAACCGGGCAAUUUGUAUCCAAUUAAUCCAGAAAUUAGUACUAACAAUUGAGCAUGUCUUUGAACUCCUAAUUAUCACUUUACUUAGUACUCUGGCAAUUCUUCCUUUAAAUCUGGUAGUUAAGCCUAAUUAAUCUGGCAGUUAAGCCGAAUUAACUGAGUAGUUGAUUUUUCAUGAUCAUUUUUGUAAGACAUGCAUGCUUUGCACUUAUUUGUGAGACAUGCAAGCACUGCCUACUUUUACCAAUAUUUAA
Lolium perenne is the source of this 904-nucleotide long non-coding RNA. RefSeq lists it as uncharacterized. Lineage: Eukaryota; Viridiplantae; Streptophyta; Magnoliopsida; Poales; Poaceae. The record is from RefSeq and is a predicted model, not a curated record.